RNAcentral lists this ribosomal RNA (466 nucleotides) under uncultured bacterium. Its description in RNAcentral is "partial 16S ribosomal RNA". It matches the Rfam family "Bacterial small subunit ribosomal RNA", at positions 28 to 508 of the family's 1533-position model. The record is from RNAcentral.
GACGAACGCUGGCGGCGUGCUUAACACAUGCAAGUCGAACGGAAAGGCCCCUUUGGGGGUACUCGAGUGGCGAACGGGUGAGUAACACGUGAGUAACCUGCCCUUGACUUCGGGAUAACUUCAGGAAACUGGGGCUAAUACCGGAUAGGAAUCCUUGCUGCAUGGUGGGGGUUGGAAAGCUUCGGCGGUUUUGGAUGGACUCGCGGCUUAUCAGCUUGUUGGUGGGGUAGUGGCUUACCAAGGCUUUGACGGGUAGCCGGCCUGAGAGGGCGACCGGCCACAUUGGGACUGAGAUACGGCCCAGACUCCUACGGGAGGCAGCAGGGGGGAAUAUUGCACAAUGGGCGGAAGCCUGAUGCAGCAACGCCGCGUGCGGGAUGAAGGCCUUCGGGUUGUAAACCGCUUUCAGCAGGGGCGAAGCUUGUGGUGACGGUACCUGCAGAAGAAGCACCGGCUAACUACGUGC